Molecule: ribosomal RNA, 109 nt
Filed under: Pteropus alecto (black flying fox)
Lineage: Eukaryota; Metazoa; Chordata; Mammalia; Chiroptera; Pteropodidae
Source: RNAcentral
GUCUAAGGCCAUGCUACCCCAAUCCCGUCUGAUCUCAGAAGAUAAGCAGGGUUGGGCCUGGUUAGUACUUGGAUGGGAGACCACCUAGGAAGAUCAGCUGCUGUAGGCA